GUGGGGAAUUUUGGACAAUGGGCGCAAGCCUGAUCCAGCAAUGCCGCGUGCAGGAAGAAGGCCUUCGGGUUGUAAACUGCUUUUGUACGGAACGAAACGGUCCGGGUUAAUACCCUGGGCUAAUGACGGUACCGUAAGAAUAAGCACCGGCUAACUACGUGCCAGCAGCCGCGGUAAUACGUAGGGUGCAAGCGUUAAUCGGAAUUACUGGGCGUAAAGCGUGCGCAGGCGGUUUUGUAAGACAGGCGUGAAAUCCCCGGGCUCAACCUGGGAAUUGCGCUUGUGACGGCAAGGCUGGAGUGCGGCAGAGGGGGAUGGAAUUCCGCGUGUAGCAGUGAAAUGCGUAGAUAUGCGGAGGAACACCGAUGGCGAAGGCAAUCCCCUGGGCCUGCACUGACGCUCAUGCACGAAAGCGUGGGGAGCAAACAGGAUUAGAUACCCCUGUAGUCC
This 450-nucleotide ribosomal RNA is filed under the name uncultured bacterium. RNAcentral describes it as "bacterial SSU rRNA". It matches the Rfam family "Bacterial small subunit ribosomal RNA", at positions 354 to 796 of the family's 1533-position model. The record is from RNAcentral.